Non-coding RNA from Oryctolagus cuniculus (rabbit), 851 nucleotides. The record is from RefSeq and is a predicted model, not a curated record. NCBI's taxonomy places the organism in Eukaryota, Metazoa, Chordata, Mammalia, Lagomorpha, Leporidae.
CUAUCAACCUGUAUGGUAUGAAGGAAAAGAAUUCUGAGGUGAUAGAAAGGUGUUACAUUGUGUGACACAGAGAUUGGAAAGCUGCAGUACAAACAUAAGAUGAAGCAUUCAAACAGAACUGAGAAGUAAGAUAUUGGUGGUCAAGAUUAUAUAAAGGAAAGUGUGAGUGGUGGCGUAGGGUUCCAAAGAAUUUUGGAAAUUUCAUGUGAGCUCAUGUAAGCAGACACUGGGAAGACAUUCUCUGAAACAGACUCUGAAUUUGAGGACAUCAGCUGGAGCCCCUCUCUUUUGCCCAGUGUGGCUCUGGGAUUUGACCUCUGUUGUGUCGUGCACAGUGAUACAAGGACAGGAAGAGUCCCCUCAUCUGGCUUUCAGGACUGGACAAAGACAUCCCACAUUACAGCUGAAGGAGAGUGAUACCUCUACUGUAGGAGUACUCUCAAGAACAAGAAUUUCUGCUCAUAUUGGGACACCCCUGUAUUCUAAAAAUUACCACAGAUGAAAUUAGCUGGACAGCAGACCUCAGCUGCAGAGCCUCAGGGCAGAAAAGGUUCCAGAAACCCCAUGGAUGGAUGGACAGCUGGUUGAAAGAAGUCAGGUGGAUCCGUAUUAAAGUAGCUUUGAUUCAGUCACACAUGCAUAUGAUGAGAGCAUACACCACAUAGGCAUACACACCCAGACAUAUGCUUCAUGUAUACUCCUGCCUAGCACUGCAUGUUCCACUGCCAUUGUGUCCUAGGGCUUUUCACAAAGUUGAAAGAUGUUUGCUUUGAUUUUUCUGUUGCUCUUUCUGCAGGUAUUUUUCCUUGCGACUUAUCAUGAUGAUCCCAACUGCUUUCUCAAGAUGGAAU